This is a non-coding RNA of Schistosoma mansoni, 48 nucleotides long. The record is from Rfam. NCBI's taxonomy places the organism in Eukaryota, Metazoa, Platyhelminthes, Trematoda, Strigeidida, Schistosomatidae.
AGCCGGCCGAUGAGUCCUAAAUAGGACGAAACGCGUGUCAAACUGGAU